Molecule: long non-coding RNA, 236 nt
Filed under: Lupinus angustifolius (narrow-leaved blue lupine)
Lineage: Eukaryota; Viridiplantae; Streptophyta; Magnoliopsida; Fabales; Fabaceae
Description: long non-coding RNA (LANG_LNC000084)
Source: RNAcentral
ACUCAUAUUAUAAGCUUUUUAGCUAGUUAAAAUUAUAGUGAAUACAAAGUUUUUUAUUUUAUCAUUUAUAUGUAUUACAUUACUUUCAUCAUUUCCUAUUACUAGAAAAUGUAAGGUACCAGUUUUUGGGUACAAAAUAAUAUCAUUAUUGCAAGGACCAUUAGAUAUCUCAUCCAUAAUAACAACCACCCAAUGGUAAGAGUUGAGCUCUACCAACUAAACUAUAUCCCCUAAAC